UUGAUUUUUUGUUAUUUUCAGGUGCAGUCUUGGGAAGAGGGCCAGAAGGACCAGCUGGUGUUGCUGCAGGUGACUGAAGAGAAUUUGCAGGUAAGUUUACGUGAUUAUUGAGAGAUUUUUCUGACGAUAUGUGUUUUUUUCCAGGUGCAGGCGCUAGUGAAAGACGAGAUGGACCAGAUGAUUGGCCAGAUGCUGGACGAGGAUUCGCAGACGAUGCUGCUGCUGG
This 226-nucleotide small RNA is filed under the name Drosophila willistoni. Its description in RNAcentral is "GK27261". The record is from RNAcentral. Lineage: Eukaryota; Metazoa; Arthropoda; Insecta; Diptera; Drosophilidae.